Molecule: long non-coding RNA, 806 nt
Filed under: Monodelphis domestica (gray short-tailed opossum)
Lineage: Eukaryota; Metazoa; Chordata; Mammalia; Didelphimorphia; Didelphidae
Description: lncRNA (ENSMODG00000047612.1)
Source: RNAcentral
AAGAUACGUCUGGAGGACACGUAGAGUUGAUUCAGACUUCACAGAAUUAUGGAAUUACAGAAUCUCAGAAGCCAGCUAAUCCAGCCCAUUAUGAACAAGAAUCUCCAAUACGCCUGACAGUCCGUCAGUCAACUAGCAUUUAUUGUCAACUACAUGUCAGCCACUAGGCUAAGCAUUUCCUACUCUUAAUUUGUCUCUGCAACUUCCAAUCAUUCUCUCGGUUCUGGCUUUUUUGGCCAUAGCCAGAUGUAACUCUACUUCUGCAUUGGUGAUCCUUCAAAAAGCUGAAGAUAUCAGGUCUUUUCCCCUUCAAGCAAAACAAUCCCAGUUCCUUCGCCCUAUCUACACGUCACAUAGGCUAAAAGCCUUUUACCACCCUGGUUGCCACUGGACAUUCUCUGAUUUAUCUUGGUUGUCUCCUAAUCACUCUCCAGCUUAUCACUGUCUUUCAGAAACUAUGGUUCCAAGAAGCUAGAGAAGAGUGUGGUGGGAUUAUCAUCUUUCAAUUACUGGGCACACCUACUUUAACUGAAGCCUAAAACUUCCUUGAGGUUUGUUUUUGUUUGUUUGUUUGUUUUUGAUAGCCAAAUGACACCUGAUUUACAUGAUGGGCUAUAUUAAAGAUUCCAGAUUAAUUUUCAGAUAAAUGCUAUCUAGUUGUAUUUUCUAAAAACAUUACCUUCUGCCUUAGUAUCAAUUCUAAGACAAGAGUGGUAAGGGCUAGGCAAUUGGGGUUAAAUGACUUGCCCAGGGUCAUACAGCUAAGAAGGGUCUGAGACCAAACUUGAACCCCAGGUCCUCCUGAC